GACGGUGGUGUAGGUAAUAUCUCAAGUAUCCCCUGUAUCUUUCCCAAGCUUGGGGAAGGGAUUCAUUAUCUUUUUGAAAAAAUCUAGAAUUCUUGCCUUUGAGCUC
This is a non-coding RNA of Capsicum annuum, 106 nucleotides long. Lineage: Eukaryota; Viridiplantae; Streptophyta; Magnoliopsida; Solanales; Solanaceae. The record is from Rfam.